RNAcentral lists this ribosomal RNA (425 nucleotides) under uncultured bacterium. RNAcentral's name for it is "partial 16S ribosomal RNA". It matches the Rfam family "Bacterial small subunit ribosomal RNA", at positions 354 to 796 of the family's 1533-position model. The record is from RNAcentral.
GUGGGGAAUCUUAGACAAUGGGCGCAAGCCUGAUCUAGCCAUGCCGCGUGAGUGAUGAAGGCCCUAGGGUUGUAAAGCUCUUUCAGCUGGGAAGAUAAUGACGGUACCAGCAGAAGAAGCCCCGGCUAACUCCGUGCCAGCAGCCGCGGUAAUACGGAGGGGGCUAGCGUUGUUCGGAAUUACUGGGCGUAAAGCGCGCGUAGGCGGACUGAAAAGUUGGGGGUGAAAUCCCGGGGCUCAACCUCGGAACUGCCUUUGAUACUGGGUGUCUUGAGUAUGAGAGAGGUGUGUGGAACUCCGAGUGUAGAGGUGAAAUUCGUAGAUAUUCGGAAGAACACCAGUGGCGAAGGCGGCUCACUGGCUCGAUACUGACGCUGAGGUGCGAAAGCGUGGGGAGCAAACAGGAUUAGAUACCCCGGUAGUCC